GAAUAUUAGUCAAUGCUCGAAAGAGUGAACUAGCUAACUGAAAUCAAUAAUAAUUGAUAACAUAAGGGAAAAUAAUGAUAUUACCUUAUUAUUAGUGUCGUCCAAAUCUGGUGCCAGAAGACUCGGUAAGGCCAGAGACACAAACGUUAAUCGUCUUAAUCAGGCGUAAAGGGUUUGUAGGCGGCUUUAAAAUUUAAUUUUAAAUAAAAUAAAAAAUUCAUUUUUUUGGUUUUAAUUUAAUUUUAUAAUUAAAGAUUUAAAGCUAGAAUCAAAAAGAGGAUAUAUUAAAGAAUGCUUAGAGUAGGUCUGAUAUCCUUAGAUACUAAGUAGAAUAUUAAAGGCGAAAGCUUUUUUCCAUUAAUGAUUGACGCUCAGAAACGAAGGUGAGGAUAGGAAAUAGGAUUAGAUACCCCAAAUACCCCUCUCUGUCAACGAUGAAUGGUAAUUAUUAGUAAAAAUAUUUAUUAAUGAUAAUGUUAACACGAUAACCAUUCCGCCUUGUGAGUACAACUGCAAAGUUGAAAACAAAAAAAUUAGUCGGUUUCGGAGCAAACGAAGUGAAGCAUGUUAUUUAAU
This 576-nucleotide ribosomal RNA is filed under the name Russula luteotacta. RNAcentral's name for it is "partial 12S small subunit ribosomal RNA". It matches the Rfam family "Bacterial small subunit ribosomal RNA", at positions 359 to 950 of the family's 1533-position model. The record is from RNAcentral. Lineage: Eukaryota; Fungi; Basidiomycota; Agaricomycetes; Russulales; Russulaceae.